UUCCAGACUCCUACGGGAGGCAGCAGUGGGGAAUAUUGCGCAAUGGGCGAAAGCCUGACGCAGCGACGCCGCGUGAGGGAUGAAGGUCUUCGGAUCGUAAAGCUCUCUCAGCAGGGAAGAAAAUGACGGUACCUGAGUAAGAAGCCCCGGCUAACUACGUGCCAGCAGCCGCGGUAAUACGUAGGGGGCAAGCGUUAUCCGGAUUUACUGGGUGUAAAGGGAGCGUAGACGGCAGUGCAAGUCUGGAGUGAAAGGCGGGGGCUCAACCCCCGGACUGCUCUGGAAACUGUACGGCUGGAGUGCAGGAGAGGUAAGUGGAAUUCCUAGUGUAGCGGUGAAAUGCGUAGAUAUUAGGAGGAACACCAGUGGCGAAGGCGGUUUACUGGACUGUAACUGACGUUGAGGCUCGAAAGCGUGGGGAGCAAACAGGAUUAGAUACCCCAGUA
Molecule: ribosomal RNA, 446 nt
Filed under: uncultured bacterium
Lineage: Bacteria
Description: bacterial SSU rRNA
Rfam family: Bacterial small subunit ribosomal RNA
Source: RNAcentral